GCCCAAACCCCAGCCCACCUUACACAUAUCCCCAUGACAUGACAAAAUAAAACAUUUUUUCCAUUAAGUAAAGGCGAUUAAAAAAUGACUAGGAGCCAUAACACCAGUACCGCAAGGGAACCGUGAAAUAUCAUGAAAAUUCAAGCACAAUAAAGCAGAGCCCCAACCUCGUACCUUUUGCAUCAUGGUCUAGCCAGUCUAACCAAGCAAGACGCACUUAAAGUUUGACCCCCCGAAACCAGGCGAGCUACUUUCAAACAGCUUAUGAGCUAACCCUUCUCCGUAGCAAAGGAGUGGGAAGAUUUAAAAGUAGAGGCGACACACCUAUCGAGCCUGGAGAUAGCUGGUUAUUUAGGAAAAGGAUCUGAGUCCACCUCUAAGUUUUUUUAACACACUUAAGCAAAAGAUAAACUUAUUAGACAUUCAAAUAAGGUGCAGCCUAUUUGAACCAGGAAACAGCCUGCAACACAGGGUAAUGCCCACCUUCUGUGAUUAGGUAGGCUCAAAAGCAGCCAGCCUUCAAAAAGCGUCCAAGCUUCAUCACUACCCGUAGAUAAUUCCACCCUUAUCCCGCAACCCUCCACCCUUACUAAAUAACCCCAUACCCGUAUGGGAAAUAUUAUGCUAGAACUAGUAACAAGAAGAAGAGCUUCUCCCAGAUACAAGCUUAAGCCACAAUGAACCCAUCACUGGCAUUUACCGCCAUUUGACCUACAGUAGCAACCCUACAAGAAAAUCCUACUACCCUCGGCGUCAACCUUACACCAGACUAUCACGGGAAAGACUAAAAAGGGGGGAAGGAACUCGGCAAAUAUCAGCUCCGCCUGUUUACCAAAAACACCGCCUCUUGACAAACUAUAAGAGGUCCAGCCUGCCCAGUGACAAAGUUUAACGGCCGCGGUACCCUAACCGUGCAAAGGUAGCAUAAUCACUUGUUCUUUAAAUCAGGACUAGUAUGAACGGCCCCACGAGAGCUGUACUGUCUCCCCCCCUCAGUCAGUGAAACUGAUUUCCUCGUGAAGAAGCGAGGAUGCCCAUAUAAGACGAGAAGACCCCAUGGAGCUUUAAACUCGCACCACUGCCCCCCCCCCACCAAAUAACCCGGGCAACAUGAUGACUAGUCUUUCGGCUGGGGCGACCACGGAGAAAAACAAAACCUCCAUGAUGAAAGGACACCCUAAUUGAAGAGCCACUGCUCUAAAAAUCAACAAAUUGACAUUAAUUGACCCAAAUAUUUUGAUCAACGAACCCAGUUACCCUGGGGAUAACAGCGCAAUCCAUUUCGAGAGACCCCAUCAACAAAUGGGCUUACGACCUCGAUGUUGGAUCAGGGUAUCCUGGUGGUGCAGCCGCUACCAAGGGUUCGUUUGUUCAACGAUUAAAACCCU
This 1388-nucleotide ribosomal RNA is filed under the name Anodonthyla nigrigularis (black-throated climbing frog). Its description in RNAcentral is "partial 16S ribosomal RNA". It matches the Rfam family "Bacterial large subunit ribosomal RNA", at positions 378 to 2597 of the family's 2925-position model. The record is from RNAcentral. Lineage: Eukaryota; Metazoa; Chordata; Amphibia; Anura; Microhylidae.